AUGGCUAUUUCAUGUGGACCCUGUGUUCUUGGGAGAGCCAUGCUUUCUGCGCAUGUGUGCAAGUUCCACCUGCACCCCACUCAGGUGAUGCCGCAACCCCGCGAGUUUCAGGUGGGGAUGGGGAGCGGUCACGUGGACAGAAUCCAGGUAGGGCCCAGCAGGUGGUCAGGCGGGUGCCAGACAGGGGCUCCUCUGACUCCCGAGGAGCCGGCCCAGCAGGCCGACGUCUGUCCCCGCGGUCGGCGUGGCUGCCCCGCCUGUGGGUUCCUGCCACUGCUCCUGGCUCACAGGCCUGAGGGGUCCCUGCACUCAUUGCCCCAAAUUUUAGUGGCUCCUCUGGACCCGCGGUGGGGGCGGGAGGGGCCCCUGCCUCUCUCCCAUACUAUUCCCUCCUCUAGAAAUAGCUUCCCCUCCUUCUGUCUGGCCAAAAACUGCAUAAACUUCAUAACCCAGCACAGCCUUCUUUGCUGCCACUGCAUCACAGCUGUGGCGGCAAGAAUGCAGUCUCUGUGAAGGCAGGGACCACUGUCCACCAUCAUUAUCAUCCUGCAACCCAGCACAGCCCUGACACGUAUCCAAUGUCCAGUAAAUGUGGGUGGGUGGAUAGAAAGAUGAAUGGAGUGAUAGAUGGACGGAUGGAUGGAUGGAUGGAUGGAUGGAUGGAUGGAUGAAUGGAUGGGGUGGUGGAUGGAUGAGUGGGUGAGUGGGUGGAUGGCUGACUGGAUGGAGUGAUGCAUGGGGUGGUGGAUGGAUGGAUGGAUGGAUGGAUGGAUGGAUGGAUGGAUGGAUGUAUGUAUGGAUGGAUGGAUGGAUGGAUGGAUGGAUGAAUGGGUGGGUGGGUGGAUGCACGGGGUGGUGGUUGGAUGGAUGGGUGAAUGGACAGCUGAAUGGAGUGAUGGAUGCGUGGGUGGGUGGGUGGGUGGGUGGAUGGAUGGAUGGAGUAAUGCAUGGGGUGGUGGAUGGGUGGAUGGAUGGGUGGGUAGAUGGACUGAUGCAUGGGGUGGUGGAUGGAUGGAUGGAUGGAUGGAUGGAUGGAUGGAUGGAUGGAGUGGUGGAUGGAUGGGGUGGUGGAUGGGUGGGUGGGUGGGGGGUGGAUGGAUGGGUGGGUGGAUGGACAGAUGAAUGGAGUGAUAGAUAGAGUGAUGGGUAGAUGGAUGGAGUGAUGGAUGUGGUGGUAAGUGGGGUGGUGGAUAGAUGGUUAUGGUGAAUGGGUGGGUGGAUGGAUAGGUGGAUGUCAGCACCCAGUAGAAAGAGCCAGUUCCUAGCUUUGGCGGCCCAGUGUCAGCAAAGGGAAUGGGUCAUCCCAACCCAAGGCAGCCCAGAGAACAUUUGAGGGCCUCUCCCUCCAAGCCUUUCUGUCCUAUGCAGUGGCCUCCACUCCCCUGGAGACCAUGAAAAAUGACUUGACAACAGCCCAGAGGAAGCGUGCCUCUUCAGGCUACAGCUUUCAAAAUCUUCUCCUGUCAUCAGAGCCUGCAAAUAAAAUGGUAGCUAUGCCUGGCAACCUCAGAGGAUCAAAGGCAGCAAGAGAAAAGCAAAAUCAAAUUACCCUGGAAGGCAGCAGCCCUGGAAGAAGCAUGGCUUGUGAAAUUGAAAGCAGAGACACUGGAGCCUGCCCCCCUCCUCUGCGACCGCCCCGCCAGCCGCUGGACGUUUGAAGCAGGGAUUGUAAACUGCUCGGGUGAGGAAGGAGAAGCCAGCCCACAAAAGGCUUUGUUUGGCCCGUACCAUGCUUUCUCAUUUUAAAAUCUGGGUGCCAACAUCUAAAAUCGUGUGCUUUCACAUAAAAAUCUAGUUCACAGGUCUGGUUCCUCCAAAGAAACCAGAUAUUGCAGGUGACUCCAGGUUCCCCCAUGACGGCAGUUAUCUGGAGCUGAGCAGGGGCUGCCUGUUGGAUGUGGCACUCCCCAGGUGACCACAGGUCCACCCACCACCAGUACCUGCCUGGCCCCCGAAGGUGAGUGGACGGACACCCAGCGUUUCUGUUCACGGAGGACUCUGCUCCCCGCCAAGAAGCACAAUUCCGUGGCUCCCAAAAUGUCCGGGUUUGAGAGGACUCAGCCUGGCAUUUCCAGGAUGCAACCAACACAAUUGCUCUUCCUCCUGACUUUCUCCUGCUUCUGAAUUUUCUGGGAGACCUCAGACCAGGAUCAGGAUGCUAAUUCCCUAAUCUCUGUGAUUUGUCUGCCUAAAAACAGGAGGCCACUGGGGGCAACCAGGGGUUCGUCUCUGACCUGCUCUCAGCUUUCCAUCUCUGCUGAUGCUGAGUCAAGGGCCGCAUGGGGGCAAGACGUGCCUCUCUCCCCUUUGAGGACCAGAGGGAAGCUCGCGAGGGCCUCACUAGCCCACUCCAGCCGGUGGAUUGGGGUCCCCGUGGCUCCUCCAACAUGCAGGCUACCUUUCUGCAGGUCACCAGCCACUGGCUCUGGACUCUGCUGGUGGAAGAUGGUUGCCAGGCAGAGGGAGGCGGAGAGAGGAGAGAGAGAGACCGGCGGGGCUGUUUGCACAUGGAUAAUGCAGUGGGGUUGUGUGCAGGGAGGAGUGCCGGCGAGGGCUGUUUGUUCUGGGAAUGGUUAAUCCUUGUUCAAAUUUAUAUCCUGAAUCUUUAAUGCAACUGUGUCAAUGAAGAGUUGGCCGCCUGGCUCCGUACAGCUGGGCCCGACUCCCGGAGUCAUUGACACGCUCCAGGGGUUCUGAAGGACAUGGGAGUGUCUUGGGCUCCCCACCCCACUCGCUCACACUUCCAGGAACCCCUGGAACCGCCAACUUCCAGGAAGGUUGGCUCCGGGAGAGGAACAGAUGAAAGCUCGACAUGGCUAAAUUUUGCAAUGGGUGAUGCUGACCAGGCUCUGUCUCCCAUUCACUGGGUAAAGAAAUCAGGCUGCCAUACGGCUCUGGGUGGGGACCUGGUCUCGUUCAGUUUAGAAGCAUUUAUUUUUUUAAAGUAAGUCCUGGUGUUGACUGGGAGUUGAGGGUCUGAGGCCAAGUUAAAGCAGACCGUGUCGACGGCGAAACCCCCUCACCGAGGGGUCAGCAGCUUGGGGCAGAAGGGCGGGCUCCAUGCAGAGGCCUGAGAACCAGAGGAAAAAGCAGGCCAGGGCACCCUCCAAAGCAGCCCCCCAGAAAGGACCUCCAUGGGGUCCCACCAGGGUGUGCUGGUAAGUGCUUGACCAGCUUUUUGGGUGGGGGCGGGGAGGGUGGGGGAGAAAGGCCCUGAUUUGUGGCACUUGUCAGUUCGCGCGGUGUAAACGCUCCCACUUUGGCCAAGGCCGAGCUGCCUCUCUGGAGACGCUAAUCUGCACGAGGCAGCGCCAGCACAGCCCUCAAGCCCCUCGUGUGCUACUCUGGGUUUCAUUCUCUUUUCC
This 3365-nucleotide long non-coding RNA is filed under the name Canis lupus familiaris (dog). RNAcentral describes it as "lncRNA (ENSCAFG00030002316.1)". Lineage: Eukaryota; Metazoa; Chordata; Mammalia; Carnivora; Canidae. The record is from RNAcentral.